UUCUUUUCAUUAUUAGUAUUAUUUAUUAUAGUUAUGGUUAUUAUAAAAAAAUGAAAAAAAAGAAACUGAGCAACACAGCAGCAAUAGUGCGGCGCCUCCCAUUCACAUUGCUAUUUUCUCACAAAAGAGCCUUAGCUACACUUAAUCAUGAAGGUGAAUCUCUCUUUCCAAUCCCAAUUUUUCCACAAAGAAACAAACAAAACAGUAUUGUGCAUAUAUUGUGGGANNNNNNNNNNNNNNNNNNNNNNNNACACAAUUUGCAGGUUGAUUUUUCUUUGAUGCAUUAAAAGCAUAGCCAUUUUUUCUUCUGAUUUGCAAGGCUAUGGUGUAGCCUUUCGGUGCAGAAAAUUGGAGUUUGACAAGAGGCAGCUUGGGUGCAGGUUUCAUACACUGUUGUGCUUGACUUUUGAUGAAUUUGAAUUGCAUUUUGUUCAAACUCCUCUGAUUGAUUUCUUCUAUAAAUAGAGGGUAAUGGCUGAAUUUGAAGAGGAGGCAUUGAGUU
RNAcentral lists this long non-coding RNA (502 nucleotides) under Trifolium pratense (red clover). Its description in RNAcentral is "long non-coding RNA (TPRA_LNC006376)". The record is from RNAcentral. Lineage: Eukaryota; Viridiplantae; Streptophyta; Magnoliopsida; Fabales; Fabaceae.